This 426-nucleotide ribosomal RNA is filed under the name uncultured prokaryote. RNAcentral describes it as "bacterial SSU rRNA". It matches the Rfam family "Bacterial small subunit ribosomal RNA", at positions 355 to 796 of the family's 1533-position model. The record is from RNAcentral.
UGGGGAAUUUUCCGCAAUGGGCGCAAGCCUGACGGAGCAAUACCGCGUGAGGGAGGAAGGCUUUUGGGUUGUAAACCUCUUUUCUCAAGGAAGAAGUCCUGACGGUACUUGAGGAAUCAGCAUCGGCUAACUCCGUGCCAGCAGCCGCGGUAAUACGGAGGAUGCAAGCGUUAUUCGGAAUUAUUGGGCGUAAAGCGUCCGCAGGUGGUGCCUCAAGUCUGCUGUCAAAGACCGAAGCUCAACUUCGGGCAGGCAGUGGAAACUGAAGCACUAGAGUACGGUAGGGGUAGAGGGAAUUCCCAGUGUAGCGGUGAAAUGCGUAGAUAUUGGGAAGAACACCAGUGGCGAAGGCGCUCUACUGGGCCAUUACUGACACUCAGAGACGAAAGCUAAGGUAGCGAAUGGGAUUAGAUACCCGUGUAGUCC